UGGGGAAUAUUGCACAAUGGGCGCAAGCCUGAUGCAGCCAUGCCGCGUGUAUGAAGAAGGCCUUCGGGUUGUAAAGUACUUUCAGCGGGGAGGAAGGGAGUAAAGUUAAUACCUUUGCUCAUUGACGUUACCCGCAGAAGAAGCACCGGCUAACUCCGUGCCAGCAGCCGCGGUAAUACGGAGGGUGCAAGCGUUAAUCGGAAUUACUGGGCGUAAAGCGCACGCAGGCUGCUUGUUAAGUCCGAUGUGAAAUCCCCGGGCUCAACCUGGGAACUGCAUCUGAUACUGGCAAGCUUGAGUCUCGUAGAGGGGGGUAGAAUUCCAGGUGUAGCGGUGAAAUGCGUAGAGAUCUGGAGGAAUACCGGUGGCGAAGGCGGCCCCCUGGACGAAGACUGACGCUCAGGUGCGAAAGCGUGGGGAGCAAACA
This 427-nucleotide ribosomal RNA is filed under the name uncultured bacterium. RNAcentral describes it as "partial 16S ribosomal RNA". It matches the Rfam family "Bacterial small subunit ribosomal RNA", at positions 355 to 774 of the family's 1533-position model. The record is from RNAcentral.